RNAcentral lists this ribosomal RNA (261 nucleotides) under uncultured archaeon. RNAcentral describes it as "partial 16S ribosomal RNA". It matches the Rfam family "Archaeal small subunit ribosomal RNA", at positions 748 to 1008 of the family's 1478-position model. The record is from RNAcentral.
CAGCCGUAAACUAUGCGCGUUAGGUGUAUCGGUGACCACGAGUUACCGAGGUGCCGAAGGGAAACCGUGAAACGUGCCGCCUGGGAAGUAUGGUCGCAAGGCUGAAACUUAAAGGAAUUGGCGGGGGAGCACCACAACAGGUGGAGCCUGCGGUUUAAUUGGACUCAACGCCGGGAAGCUCACCGGAUAGGACAGCAGAAUGAUUGCCGGGCUGAAGACCCUGCAUGACUAGCUGAGAGGAGGUGCAUGGCGUCAGUGACU